Molecule: transfer RNA, 68 nt
Filed under: Opimothrips tubulatus
Lineage: Eukaryota; Metazoa; Arthropoda; Insecta; Thysanoptera; Thripidae
Description: tRNA-His
Source: RNAcentral
AUUUUAUUAGUUUAAAAAAAAAACGUUGAUUUGUGGAAUCAAAAAAAAAAAAUUAAUUUUAUAAAAUU